CAGCAGCCACGGUAAUACGUAGGGUGCAAGCGUUAAUCGGAAUUACUGGGCGUAAAGCGUGCGCAGGCGGUUUUGUAAGACAGAGGUGAAAUCCCCGGGCUCAACCUGGGAACUGCCUUUGUGACUGCAAGGCUGGAGUGCGGCAGAGGGGGAUGGAAUUCCGCGUGUAGCAGUGAAAUGCGUAGAUAUGCGGAGGAACACCGAUGGCGAAGGCAAUCCCCUGGGCCUGCACUGACGCUCAUGCACGAAAGCGUGGGGAGCAAACAGGAUUAGAUACCCGCGUAGUCCCUGUCUCUUAUAC
Molecule: ribosomal RNA, 301 nt
Filed under: uncultured bacterium
Lineage: Bacteria
Description: partial 16S ribosomal RNA
Rfam family: Bacterial small subunit ribosomal RNA
Source: RNAcentral